This is a long non-coding RNA of Polypterus senegalus (gray bichir), 2355 nucleotides long. RefSeq lists it as uncharacterized. Lineage: Eukaryota; Metazoa; Chordata; Cladistia; Polypteriformes; Polypteridae. The transcript is spliced from 2 exons. The record is from RefSeq and is a predicted model, not a curated record.
CCUUGUGCCCUGUGUUGGCUGGGAUUGGCUCCAGCAGACCCCCGUGACCCUGUGUUCGGAUUCAGCGGGUUGGAAAAUGGAUGGAUGGAUGAAACUGUCUUGGAUAAUAUGUUAUUUCAAUAUCUUCUUCACAUAAGGUACAAACCACACAAUCCUGCCCAAAUCUGUCUUAAAAAUUAUUCAAUCCCUGUAAGAAUUUUGAAAUGGAUUUCCUUUGCUUUUGUUGUUACUAGAAAUGUUAAUUUGCCCUUAGUUUUUCUAUGCCAGCUUUUUUUUUUUUUUUUUUUUUAAAUCUAAAAAAUUGAAUUUCUAUUUGAUUGAAAAGGCAAUCUAUCAAAUUGUUUGGAAAUUUUGAGGCAUGAACAUCCACUAAAUAUUUAGAAAGGCAUGAACAUAAAGCAUUUUGUAAUGCCUUAUAGGCUAUCGGUACUGUUGACUGAAGAAUUGCUUUAGUGACAUUAAGGUCUUCAUUCAUAUUUAAAAUGUAAGUUUUUUUUCUCUGAUCUAGAAAAUGUGUCACUGAUUCUUCUUUUCCAACAAAUUCUUGCAAACCAGUGAUUUAUUUGUAAUGAGUGAUAUCACCAGUUCCUCAUAGGUGUAUUGGAAGAUCUGGAAUGUAUGCUUGUAGAUUAUUUUCCAAUAUAGUGACUUAUUGAUGAAAUUGUGGUAACGUGGGACGUAGUCAUUUUAAAAAAAAAAAAAAUUCCAUAAACUGUUUUGUUUCUUUAUACUGGCGAAGAGCUAUUUCUUUCUGUGGCUUGUAAUCCUCCUCCUUUUGUCUUCUUUACCAUGUUCUGCUUUCCUAAUAUCGUGUGUUUCGAAUGAGAACACACAUCUGUGGAUGUGAAUACAGGUAGCUGCAAAAUCCUCCAUUUGAAAAGGCUUCACCAAUGGGUUUACUACUUCAAAUCCUGUCCCCAGUGUCCUCCCGUCCAUGCACUGUAAACAGCCAUGGUUGCAGUGUCCCAUUUCUCCUUAUGUAUUUGGCAAAUACAUAAAAUAACCAUGGAGAGCGAGAGAAAGAGAGAAGAAAAUUUCUGAAAGAAAACAGAAGGAGAAUUUCCAUCCAUAGAAGGUUGAUCCAACGAAACUACAGACUUAAUGUUGGUCAGGUCUUGUUAACAAGACCACCAAUAUUCUUUGCCUUUUAAAUGAUUGCCCCUGCAUUGCUCUUUUACCUUCAUGAUGUGUUGGAUUGGUUUCAAAAUGUUGCAGUCACUAAACUGUCUAAUUCUUCCUGCCCACUCUUAAGCCAAAGUUCACUCAUGGUUGUCUCUAGAUGUAUGUUUAAAUAUCUGGAACUGCAAAAUAAUGCCUAUCCCAAUGAUACCAUGUGUAGCUCAUACAUCCAGGCUCCUGAGACUUGAUACAUCCAUCUUUGUUGGGCAUAAGCUCAGGUAUGUGCUGGUCGACUAUUCUAAGGUAUCCUUGAUAACGGACUAGAUGUCGGACAGACCGUAGUUUGUGAGACUCAAUAUCCAUGUCUCUGAUAUAGAUGUGUGCAGCAAUGUUGCCCCACAAGGAAAAGACCUGUCUCCUUUUCUGUUCGCCCUGUACAGCUCAAACUAUAAAUAAAACGCAAGUUCAUGUCACUUGCAGAAAUUCCCUGAGGAUGGGGACAGAGUUUAAGGACUCGGAUGGAGAUAAUUCUUUCUUGGUGCAAGGAGAACUGGCUGCAGCUAACCAUCGGCAAAACCAAAAAACAGGCUGUCGACUUUUGUGGCCCUAAAGAACUUGAAUGCCCAGUUACUGUUUAGAGAGUGGAUGUGGAAAUACUUGGUACAUCGAGGUCCAUGUCAAUGAUAAGCGAGUCCAGUCUACUAACUCAGAAGUGCUAUAUAGGAAGGGACAGAGCAGAGAGAACUUUUGAUUUAGGUGGUGACAUCUUUAACAUCAUCAGCAACUCUGUGAUGGCCAGUGCAAUUUUCAGUGCUGUGGUGUGCUCUGUCUGGUAACAUCACUUCAGAAGAAGCCCACCGAAUCCACAAGCUAAUUGAGAAGGCAGGCUCAGUUAGGGGAUAUUCUGUACUCCUGCUGGAGGUGCUGUAGUAGAGAAUGAUAUAAUGAAAACAAAACUGCUGGAAUUAAUGAACAAUGCUGCAAAUGAUACACUAACACUAAAAAUUUUCAGAUAAAUUAUUCAGCAAAAGUUUGUCAAGAGAUGUUACUGGGACUGUUUUAUGCUAAUUGCAAUUCACCUUUUGUCUUAAUGUGACAUUUCUCCUUAGCAAUUUCAGAAGUUUUUUUUUUGUUUGUUUUUAUGAUUGUUUCACGGAGGUUGUUAUAAUAAUUUUUGAACUUUUGUAAAAGCUAAACUUCCCUCCUAGUGCAAGUAAAUGAUCUAUCUAUCUCUAA